RNAcentral lists this ribosomal RNA (267 nucleotides) under uncultured Prevotella sp. RNAcentral's name for it is "partial 16S ribosomal RNA". It matches the Rfam family "Bacterial small subunit ribosomal RNA", at positions 89 to 356 of the family's 1533-position model. Lineage: Bacteria; Pseudomonadati; Bacteroidota; Bacteroidia; Bacteroidales; Prevotellaceae. The record is from RNAcentral.
CGUCGACCGGCGCACGGGUGAGUAACGCGUAUCCAACCUGCCCUUUACUUGGGGAUAACCCGUUGAAAGACGGACUAAUACCCAAUGAUAUUCAUUGAUGACAUCUGAUUUGAAUUAAAGAUUUAUCGGUAUAGGAUGGGAAUGCGUCUGAUUAGCUUGUUGGUGAGGUAACGGCUCACCAAGGCCACGACCAGUAGGGGUUCUGAGAGGAAGGUCCCCCACAUUGGAACUGAGACACGGUCCAAACUCCUACGGGAGGCAGCAGCG